CCGUUGAAAUAGUAAUCUUAAAACAUGAAAUCACUUCGUAUUGCGUUUCACUCUUGGCUACAUAUAUAAGCAGACUAGCAAUUAAAUGUACAACGGCAUUGAGUGGUUCCACCUGCUGAUAUUUCGCAAAAUGCAGUAGUAAUAGCAACUUUGUAACGUAAGGUGCAAAGCUGGAAGCAGCCAUGAUCUGGUCCGAAGCUGCACUGAUUUACUCCUGUGUAGGCAUUGCAUAUCUUCCCUUGAUCAAGCAGAACAAUUUUCCCAUCUAUUUGAAGACAUAUUAUAAAAAUUAGCCAUAAAUCCCUCAGUAUCAACAGCAGCUGGAUAAUUUUAUCUACAAAAUUGUUAAAGAAAAGAAAGCUUCUCGUUCCUUCCUCCACCCGCUUCAACUGCUAAGAUCUUUCGAAGAAUUACACGCCUAUUACAUUUUGAAAAUUUUUUAGUAGUGGGGACCAUGUAUUAAUACUCUCUCCAUCUCAUAUUAACAGUGCUGGUUACUAAAAGUAAUUGUCUCAAAUUAUUUAUAAUUUCAAACGUUAAUGACAAAAUUGAUUAUUUUUUCCCUUAGCGAUACUUGUUAUUGAAGAUGGAGAUAAUACAUAAAUAGAAUAAAUAUUUAAUGAAAAGAGAUUAUCAUAUCUUAUGACAUAAAUAAGGGUGGAAUGGUUCAUGACUUUUUCUAAUUAAUAUUUUUUUAAUGAGUGAUUGAAAAAGAAACACGAUACAUAAUAUGAGACGGAGGGAGUACUCAAGACCCGAAUAAUGCAACAAUGAUUAGUUAUUUUGAUUGACAAAAUUUUGCAAAGAUCUUUGAUCAAUGCCUGAAUCUUUCUGUGUUUUUUGUGUGCGACAUUUUCCUUUUAAUGCUAUCAAGCCUAAAUGGAGGAGAAAAAGAUAGGUGAAAGUAAUACCUGAAACAAAUGUGAGAAGAACAAUGAUGAUAGCAAAGAAAGAUAAUUGGAAGAAUUUC
Molecule: long non-coding RNA, 970 nt
Filed under: Nicotiana benthamiana
Lineage: Eukaryota; Viridiplantae; Streptophyta; Magnoliopsida; Solanales; Solanaceae
Description: long non-coding RNA (NBEN_LNC034654)
Source: RNAcentral